This 721-nucleotide ribosomal RNA is filed under the name Pseudomonas baetica. RNAcentral describes it as "bacterial SSU rRNA". It matches the Rfam family "Bacterial small subunit ribosomal RNA", at positions 1 to 729 of the family's 1533-position model. The record is from RNAcentral. Lineage: Bacteria; Pseudomonadati; Pseudomonadota; Gammaproteobacteria; Pseudomonadales; Pseudomonadaceae.
UAGAGAUCCUGGCUCAGAUUGAACGCUGGCGGCAGGCCUAACACAUGCAAGUCGAGCGGAUGAAAGGAGCUUGCUCCUGGAUUCAGCGGCGGACGGGUGAGUAAUGCCUAGGAAUCUGCCUGGUAGUGGGGGACAACGUUUCGAAAGGAACGCUAAUACCGCAUACGUCCUACGGGAGAAAGCAGGGGACCUUCGGGCCUUGCGCUAUCAGAUGAGCCUAGGUCGGAUUAGCUAGUUGGUGAGGUAAUGGCUCACCAAGGCGACGAUCCGUAACUGGUCUGAGAGGAUGAUCAGUCACACUGGAACUGAGACACGGUCCAGACUCCUACGGGAGGCAGCAGUGGGGAAUAUUGGACAAUGGGCGAAAGCCUGAUCCAGCCAUGCCGCGUGUGUGAAGAAGGUCUUCGGAUUGUAAAGCACUUUAAGUUGGGAGGAAGGGCAGUAAAUUAAUACUUUGCUGUUUUGACGUUACCGACAGAAUAAGCACCGGCUAACUCUGUGCCAGCAGCCGCGGUAAUACAGAGGGUGCAAGCGUUAAUCGGAAUUACUGGGCGUAAAGCGCGCGUAGGUGGUUUGUUAAGUUGGAUGUGAAAUCCCCGGGCUCAACCUGGGAACUGCAUCCAAAACUGGCAAGCUAGAGUAUGGUAGAGGGUGGUGGAAUUUCUGGUAGCGGUGAAAUGCGUAGAUAUAGGAAGGAACACCAGUGGCGAAGGCGACCACC